GACAGAACUACACAUAAGGCAAGAGUUAUGAGAUAGAGAGAAAUGAUGAACUGUGAGGUAGAGACAGAACACACAGAGAUAAGAGAGACAGAACUACACAUAAGGCAAGAGUUAUGAGAUACAGAGAAAUGAUGAACUGUGAGGUAAAGACAGAACACACAGAGAUAAGAGAGACAGAACUACACAUAAGGCAAGAGUUAUGAGAUACAGAGAAAUGAUGAACUGUGAGGUAAAGACAGAACACACAGAGACAAGAGAGACAGAACUACACAUAAGGCAAGAGUUAUGAGAUACAGAGAAAUGAUGAACUGUGAGGUAGAGACAGAACACACAGAGACAAGAGAGACAGAACUACACAUAAGGCAAGAGUUAUGAGAUACAGAGAAAUGAUGAACUGUGAGGUAAAGACAGAACACACAGAGACAAGAGAGACAGAACUACACAUAAGGCAAGAGUUAUGAGAUACAGAGAAAUGAUGAACUGUGAGGUAAAGACAGAACACACAGAGACAAGAGAGACAGAACUACACAUAAGGCAAGAGUUAUGAGAUACAGAGAAAUGAUGAACUGUGAGGUAAAGACAGAACACACAGAGACAAGAGAGACAGAACUACACAUAAGGCAAGAGUUAUGAGAUACAGAGAAAUGAUGAACUGUGAGGUAAAGACAGAACACACAGAGAGAGACAGAACUACACAUAAGACAAGAGUUAUGAGAUACAGAGAAAUGAUGAACUGUGAG
This is a long non-coding RNA of Eriocheir sinensis (Chinese mitten crab), 740 nucleotides long. RefSeq lists it as uncharacterized. NCBI's taxonomy places the organism in Eukaryota, Metazoa, Arthropoda, Malacostraca, Decapoda, Varunidae. The record is from RefSeq and is a predicted model, not a curated record. The transcript is spliced from 4 exons.